RNAcentral lists this ribosomal RNA (263 nucleotides) under uncultured Fusibacter sp. Its description in RNAcentral is "partial 16S ribosomal RNA". It matches the Rfam family "Bacterial small subunit ribosomal RNA", at positions 1122 to 1382 of the family's 1533-position model. Lineage: Bacteria; Bacillati; Bacillota; Clostridia; Eubacteriales; Fusibacteraceae. The record is from RNAcentral.
CAGGUCAAGCUGUGCACUCUAGACAGACUGCCGUGGACAACACGGAGGAAGGUGGGGAUGACGUCAAAUCAUCAUGCCCCUUAUGAUCUGGGCUACACACGUGCUACAAUGGCCGGGUACAACGGGCAGCGAAGGAGCGAUCCGGAGCGAAUCCUAAAAAAGCCGGUCCCAGUUCGGAUUGCAGGCUGAAACUCGCCUACAUGAAGUUGGAGUUGCUAGUAAUCGCGAAUCAGAAUGUCGCGGUGAAUGCGUUCCCGGGUCUU